GAACGCUAGCGACAGGCUUAACACAUGCAAGUCGAGGGGCAGCACAGGUAGCAAUACCGGGUGGCGACCGGCGCACGGGUGAGUAACGCGUAUGCAACUUACCUAUCAGAGGGGGAUAACCCGGCGAAAGUCGGACUAAUACCGCAUGAAGCAGGGGCCCCGCAUGGGGAUAUUUGCUAAAGAUUCAUCGCUGAUAGAUAGGCAUGCGUUCCAUUAGGCAGUUGGCGGGGUAACGGCCCACCAAACCGACGAUGGAUAGGGGUUCUGAGAGGAAGGUCCCCCACAUUGGUACUGAGACACGGACCAAACUCCUACGGGAGGCAGCAGUGAGGAAUAUUGGUCAAUGGCCGAGAGGCUGAACCAGCCAAGUCGCGUGAGGGAUGAAGGUUCUAUGGAUCGUAAACCUCUUUUAUAAGGGAAUAAAGUGCGGGACGUGUCCCGUUUUGUAUGUACCUUAUGAAUAAGGAUCGGCUAACUCCGUGCCAGCAGCCGCGGUAAUACGGAGGAUCCGAGCGUUAUCCGGAUUUAUUGGGUUUAAAGGGUGCGUAGGCGGCCUUUUAAGUCAGCGGUGAAAGUCUGUGGCUCAACCAUAGAAUUGCCGUUGAAACUGGGGGGCUUGAGUAUGUUUGAGGCAGGCGGAAUGCGUGGUGUAGCGGUGAAAUGCAUAGAUAUCACGCAGAACCCCGAUUGCGAAGGCAGCCUGCCAAGCCAUGACUGACGCUGAUGCACGAAAGCGUGGGGAUCAAACAGGAUUAGAUACCCUGGUAGUCCACGCAGUAAACGAUGAUCACUAGCUGUUUGCGAUACACUGUAAGCGGCACAGCGAAAGCGUUAAGUGAUCCACCUGGGGAGUACGCCGGCAACGGUGAAACUCAAAGGAAUUGACGGGGGCCCGCACAAGCGGAGGAACAUGUGGUUUAAUUCGAUGAUACGCGAGGAACCUUACCCGGGUUUGAACGCAUUCGGACCGAGGUGGAAACACCUUUUCUAGCAAUAGCCGUUUGCGAGGUGCUGCAUGGUUGUCGUCAGCUCGUGCCGUGAGGUGUCGGCUUAAGUGCCAUAACGAGCGCAACCCUUGCCACUAGUUACUAACAGGUAAAGCUGAGGACUCUGGUGGGACUGCCAGCGUAAGCUGCGAGGAAGGCGGGGAUGACGUCAAAUCAGCACGGCCCUUACAUCCGGGGCGACACACGUGUUACAAUGGCGUGGACAAAGGGAAGCCACCUGGCGACAGGGAGCGAAUCCCCAAACCACGUCUCAGUUCGGAUCGGAGUCUGCAACCCGACUCCGUGAAGCUGGAUUCGCUAGUAAUCGCGCAUCAGCCAUGGCGCGGUGAAUACGUUCCCGGGCCUUGUACACACCGCCCGUCAAGCCAUGGGAGCCGGGGGUACCUGAAGUCCGUAACCGCGAGGAUCGGCCUAGGGUAAAACUGGUGACUGGGGCUAA
Molecule: ribosomal RNA, 1446 nt
Filed under: uncultured organism
Description: SSU rRNA
Rfam family: Bacterial small subunit ribosomal RNA
Source: RNAcentral